Molecule: ribosomal RNA, 1238 nt
Filed under: metagenome
Description: bacterial LSU rRNA
Rfam family: Bacterial large subunit ribosomal RNA
Source: RNAcentral
UGAAUACGAGACGCUAAGGCGUCGAAGUAGUGUAUGUCAUACUUCCAAGAAAAGCUUGCACUGUCAUAAGUAAAAAAUGCCUGUACCAUAACCGACACAGGUGGGUAGGUAGAGUAUACUAAGGGGCGCGGGAUAACUCUCUCUAAGGAACUCGGCAAAAUAACUCCGUAACUUCGGGAGAAGGAGUACCUUAUUCUAUAAGGUUGCAAUAACAAGAUCCAAGCAACUGUUUAUCAAAAACACAGGUCUCCGCUAAGUCGUAAGACGAUGUAUGGGGGCUGACGCCUGCCCAGUGCCAGAAGGUUAAAGAAGUCGGUUAGCAUUAGCGAAGCUGGUAACUGAAGCCCUGGUGAACGGCGGCCGUAACGAUAACGGUCCUAAGGUAGCGAAAUUCCUUGUCGGGUAAGUUCCGACCCGCACGAAAGGCGUAAUGAUUUGGAUACUGUCUCGGAGAGGGGCUCGGUGAAAUAGACUUGUCUGUGAAGAUGCGGACUACCUGCACCAGGACAGAAAGACCCUAUGAAGCUUUACUGUAACUUGAAAUUGAAAUUGGACUUUAUUCGCGCAGUAUAGGUGGGAGGUGUUGAUUAUAAUCUUGCGGGAUUGUUGGAGCCGUCAGUGAGAUACCACUCUUGUAAUGUUAGAUUUCUAACUUUGAAUCAUUAUCUGGUCAAAGGACAGUUUCAGGCGGGCAGUUUGACUGGGGCGGUCGCCUCCCAAACGGUAACGGAGGCGUACAAAGGUUUCCUCUGAACGGGUAGAAAUCGUAUCUAGAGUGUAUAGGCAUAAGGAAGCUUGACUGUGAGACCUACAAGUCGAACAGGGACGAAAGUCGGUCUUAGUGAUCUGACGGUACUGAGUGGAAAGGCCGUCACUCAACGGAUAUAAGUUACUCUAAGGAUAACAGGCUGAUCUCCCCCAAGAGUUCACAUCGACGGGGAGGUUUGGCACCUCGAUGUCGGCUCAUCGCACCCUGGGGCGGUAGUACGUCCCAAGGGUUGGGCUGUUCGCCCAUGUAAGCGGUACGCGAGCUGGGUUCAGAACGUCGUGAGACAGUUCGGUCCAUAUCCGGUGUAGGCGUUAGAAUAUUGAGAGGAGCCUUCUUUAGUACGAGAGGACCGAGAAGGACAUACCUCUGGUGUACCAGUUAUCGUGCCAACGGUAAACGCUGGGUAGCUAUGUAUGGAGUGGAUAACCGCUGAAAGCAUCUAAGUGGGAAGCCCACCUCAAGAUAAGUA